This 102-nucleotide transfer RNA is filed under the name Sclerotinia borealis F-4128. It matches the Rfam family "tRNA". Rfam says of the family: Transfer RNA (tRNA) molecules are approximately 80 nucleotides in length. Their secondary structure includes four short double-helical elements and three loops (D, anti-codon, and T loops). Further hydrogen bonds mediate the characteristic L-shaped molecular structure. tRNAs have two regions of fundamental functional importance: the anti-codon, which is responsible for specific mRNA codon recognition, and the 3' end, to which the tRNAs corresponding amino acid is attached (by aminoacyl-tRNA synthetases). tRNAs cope with the degeneracy of the genetic code in two manners: having more than one tRNA (with a specific anti-codon) for a particular amino acid; and 'wobble' base-pairing, i.e. permitting non-standard base-pairing at the 3rd anti-codon position. Lineage: Eukaryota; Fungi; Ascomycota; Leotiomycetes; Helotiales; Sclerotiniaceae. The record is from Rfam by way of RNAcentral.
GGAUCCGUGGUGUAGUGGUUAUCACACUUGCUUUACACAGUAGUCCGUCCAUUCGGGCUGUGAAAUCGCAAUAGGUCCCCGGUUCGAACCCGGGCGGAUUCA